AUGGCAAGCCGAGCUCUCACCACCUUCCAGCUCACGGCCACCCUCCUCGUGGCGCUACUGGCAACGUGCCAUGCCGGCGGCAUCGCCGUGUACUGGGGCCAGAACGACGGCGAGGCAUCACUGGCCGAGACGUGCGCGUCUGGAAACUACGAGUUUGUCAUCCUGGCUUUCCUCCCAAAGUUUGGCAAGGGCCAGACGCCACAACUAGACCUCGGCAGCCACUGCGACGCCUCGUCGGGCGGCUGCAAAAGCCAGAGCAAAGAAAUCCAGUCAUGCCAGCGCGGCGGUGUCAAGGUCCUCCUCUCCAUCGGCGGCGGAGACGGCAGCUACGGUCUCUCAUCACCCGGUGAUGCACGACAAGUUGCCAUGUACCUCUGGAACAACUACCUGGGCGGCACGUCAUCAUUCCGCCCUCUCGGCGACGCCAUACUCGACGGCAUCGACUUCGACAUCGAGCUCGGCGGUGCCAAAUUCUGGAAUGAUCUCGCCACGGACCUGAAGAACUUAGAAAAGAACGGUGGCAAGACCGUGUUGCUAAGCGCCGCACCGCAGUGCCCCUUCCCGGAUGAAUGGGACGGCAACGCGAUCAACACGGGGCUGUUCGACUUCGUUUGGGUGCAGUUCUACAACAAUCCAGAGUGCCAGUUUAGUGCGGGGCGUGGAGCGUUCAUGGACGCGUGGAAAAGAUGGGAGUCGGUGCCGGCAGGAAAGAUCUUCCUAGGACUGCCAGCCUCCAAGGACGCUGCAGGCACCGGGUUCGUGCCCGCCGGGGAGCUCACUUCACGCGUGCUUCCGCUCAUCAAGGGCUCACCCAAGUACGGCGGCGUCAUGCUGUGGUCAAAGUUCUAUGAUGAUCGCACUGGAUAUAGCUCCGCCAUCAAGAGCUAUGUGUGA
This 894-nucleotide ribosomal RNA is filed under the name Triticum aestivum (bread wheat). Its description in RNAcentral is "partial small subunit ribosomal RNA". Lineage: Eukaryota; Viridiplantae; Streptophyta; Magnoliopsida; Poales; Poaceae. The record is from RNAcentral.